Long non-coding RNA from Arabidopsis lyrata subsp. lyrata, 997 nucleotides. RefSeq lists it as uncharacterized. The transcript is spliced from 4 exons. NCBI's taxonomy places the organism in Eukaryota, Viridiplantae, Streptophyta, Magnoliopsida, Brassicales, Brassicaceae. The record is from RefSeq and is a predicted model, not a curated record.
CUUCUUAACCCAAAAACACUUUGACUUCUUCUUCUUUCUUUCCAUCGCUUCUUCUCUUCUUCACUAGAUUCUGGGUUUCUUUACACCAAUCCACAUCUUCUCUUCUUUGUUCUUCAAACCUUUAUCAUUGAUGCUUGUAUUCUUCUUUGCAGAUUCAAUUGGAGAGAUCAAUCUCAACACUCCCUCUUGAUUUCUUCGAUUGUAUCCCAUAGAUGAAUUUAGGGAUUUGAGUUUUGGUACCUUUAGUUCAUUGCGGCUUAGCCAAUGUUUCAUCGGAGGGGCUCGUUUUAGAGCGUCAGCAUAGCUCAUGGGAGUGUUCAGUUUCACCAUCUCUCUCUUGCUUGAGGUAUCAAUGGUACUUGCAUCUUCAGAAUUUUGGGAGACCGAGCAUUGAAUUCAUUAACCUUUUUGGUGAUCUCUAUGGUGGCUUUUCUCAAUUCACCAUCGGUUCUUCCUUCAACAGAUUUCAGCUUGCUUUGUUGGUUUUCUUGAUUUAUACUUGAUUCUCCCGUCUGGAUGAUGUUUGGUUUUCCAGACACAACUUCCUUCUUUCAGCGUUGGACUUUUCUUCUUGACAUACUACAGCCAUAGUUGCUUCAUUUCUUGUGGGCCAUUGGAUAUGGAAGCUUUUCCCGAUCAUCUUUAUGUCAGCAACAAGUCUUCCAGUUUGAUCACGAAUGACACAGCUCCCUUCAAAGAAGUUAAUCUCGUAUCCACGAUCAAUCAUUUGAGAGACGCUCAGGAGAUUCUUGGUAAUGUUGGGUACUAGGAAAACAUCACGAAUGAUUCUUUUCCCAUUGGUGGUUUCUACCUCAAUAUCUCCCUUGCCUUUUGUCAUCAGCACAUCUCCAUUUCCUAUACGAAUAGGUACAUUGAAGCUGGUGUCAAGGUUAGUAAAGAUUGCUUCAUUUGGAGUCAUGUGAUUUGUGCAUCCGCUAUCAAUAAGCCAACUGUUGAGAUCAUUUGCAUCUCCGUUUUCUUGUCUUGCAGUGAACAA